Oncorhynchus mykiss (rainbow trout) is the source of this 6706-nucleotide non-coding RNA. The record is from RefSeq and is a predicted model, not a curated record. Lineage: Eukaryota; Metazoa; Chordata; Actinopteri; Salmoniformes; Salmonidae.
CACCGACACAGUUGACGGCAAAUGAUUCGUCAAUGAUCUUGGCGACAAAACAGAGUUGAGGAGGCUGUAUCAUUGGGCUCUGUGAGCUGAAGGAGAGGACCCUUUACCCAAAAGCUAUCGGCUAUUAGCUACCGCUAGCUGGAUUACUAUCGCCAUGGAGUUGGCUCACAGUCUACUUCUGAACGAGGAAGCCCUAGCCCAGAUCACUGAGGCUAAGAGACCCGUCUUCAUCUUCGAAUGGCUUCGCUUCCUGGACAAGGUUCUAGUGGCAGCAAACAAGGUGGAUGUGAAGGAGAAGCAGAAGAAGUUGGUUGAGCAGCUGACAGGGUUGAUCAGCAGUGCCCCUGGCCCUCCCACCAGGAAACUGCUAGCGAAGAACCUGGCUACCCUCUACAGCAUAGGAGACACUUUCACUGUCUUCCAGACACUGGACAAGUGCAAUGACAUCAUCAAGAGCAAGGAUGACACGCCCACUUACCUCCCCACCAAACUAGCUGCUGUGGCCUGUGUUGGGUCCUUCUAUGAGAAGAUGGGGAGGAUGCUGGGAAGUUCCUUUCCCGACACCAUCUCCAACAUGCUGAAAGCACUGAAGACUGCAGAGUCCCAGGGUCGUAGUGAGAUUCUACUCAGUCUACAGAAGGUGUUGAAUGGUCUUGGUGGAGCAGCAGCCUCUUGCCAUAGAGACAUCUAUAAGAACGCUCGUUCCCUACUCACAGACCGCUCCAUGGCUGUGCGCUGUGCUGUAGCUAAGUGUCUGCUAGAGCUGCAGAAUGAGGCUGUAUUCAUGUGGACCGCCGAGCUGGAGAACGUAGCUACUCUGUGCUUCAAGGCCCUGGAAGGAUCGAACUAUGGAGUGAGGGUAGCCGUAUCCAAACUACUAGGAACCGUCAUGGCCACGGCCCUGAUGCCCAAACAAGCUGCAGUGAUGCGUCAGAACGUGAAACGCGCCACGCUAGACGAGGUGUUGGAGCUGAUGGCUACAGGCUUCCUAAGAGGGGGGUCUGGCUUCCUGAAGAGCGGGGGGGAGAUGCUGAAGGGAGGGGGCUCUGUCAGCAGGGAGGUGCGGGUGGGAGUCACACAGGCAUAUGUUGUAUUCGUGACCACGCUGGGCGGCCAGUGGCUGGAGCGGAACUUUGCCACGUUCCUGUCUCAUGUCCUGGACCUGGUCAGCCACCCGCGGGCCACCCAGACACACGUGGAGGCGGUGUACUCCCGUCGCUGUGUGUCGUUCAUGCUGCGCUCCACUCUGGGGGGGCUGCUAGGGGAGAAGGCCCAGAUCGCUGCGGGGAAAGACAUCUGCCAGGCUAUCAGUAAACAGAUGAGGGCUGUGGGUAAGGAGAUAGAUGGGGGGGAGAUUUCACGGUUCAGAGCUUUACAGACUCUUACCUCUGCUCGGAGGCACAGUUCUGCUGAAGCAGUAGUGAAUGACACCAGUGGAGAGAACAAGGCAGGAGCAGCUGAUGUUUCUGCCAGUCAACACGUGAUGGUCUGUGCCCUCAAAGAGCUGGGCAGCCUGGUGCAGAGUCUUAGUGCCACAUCCUCACCGCUCAUACAGGAACCCUCCAUUGGUCUCCUGGAGACGGUCUCCUCUGUGCUGCUCCACCCCAGCAUGGCGGCCCGUUUGGCGGCGGCCUGGUGUUUACGCUGCGUUGCCGUGGCGCUGCCCUAUCAGCUGACUCCGCUGUUGGAGCGCUGUGCGGAGCGCAUCAACAACCUGAAGAGCUCUCCAGAGGCCGUCAGCGGCUACAGCUUCGCCGUGGCUGCUCUGCUGGGCGGCGUGCACCAGUGUCCUCUGGGAGUACCACAUUCCAAGGGAAAGCUGGUGGUGAGCAUAGCUGAGGACUUGCUCCGUACAGCAGCCCAGAACAGCCGUCUUUCUCUGCAGAGAACCCAGGCUGGAUGGCUGCUGCUGGGGGCACUAAUGUCUCUGGGCCCGUCCCUGGUCCGCUAUCACCUUCCCAAGAUGCUGCUGCUGUGGAGGAACGUGUUCCCCCGUUCCCAGAAAGAGAUGGAGGCAGAGAAGGCUAGAGGAGACAGCUUCACCUGGCAGGUUACGCUGGAGGGACGUGCUGGGGCACUCUGUGCCAUGCGUAGCUUUGUGGCCCAUUGUCCUGAGCUGCUGACGGAGGAUGUGAUCCGCAGGCUGAUGACACCUAUCGAGUGCGCCAUGACCAUGAUGUCACAUGUCCCGUCGGUCAUCAAGGUGCAUGGCACCCAUCUGAAAGCCAGUGCAGCUAUGGUGAGGCUGAGACUCUAUGACAUCUUGGCUCUACUUCCCCCGAAGACAUACGAAGGUAGUUUCAAUGCCCUGCUGAGAGAGCUGGUGGCAGAGUUCACUCUGACUGAUAACUCGGCCAACACCACCACCUCGUUGCUACGCUCCCUCUGUCACUAUGACGACAGUGUUCUGAUGGGGUCCUGGCUACAGGAGACUGACCACAAGUCUAUCGAGGACCAGCUCCAGCCCAACAGUGCGUCAGGCAGUGGCGCUCUAGAACACGACCCCUCCUCCAUCUACCUGAGGGUACCGAUGGGCGAGGCCAUGCCUGGGCCCCUCCCCCUUGGCGUUUCUGUCAUCGACGCCUCCGUCGCUCUGUUCGGAGUGGUGUUCCCUCAUGUCUCCUUUAAACACAGGCUGCAGAUGCUGGACCACUUUGCAGAGUGUAUUAAACAGGCCAAGGGGGUCAGACAGCAGGCUGUCCAGCUCAACAUCUUCACCGCUGUCCUGAGCGCCCUCAAGGGUCUGGCAGAGAACAAGUCCACCCUGGGUCCUGAAGAGGUUCGUAAAUCCGCCCUGGCGCUGGUGAUGGGCGCUCUGGACAACCCAAACCCCAUUCUGCGCUGUGCUGCUGGGGAGGCCUUGGGAAGGAUGGCUCAGGUGGUGGGAGAGGCCACCUUCAUUGCCCGCAUGGCACAGUACAGCUUUGACAAACUGAGGUCAGCCCGUGACGUGGUCUCCAGAACAGGCCACUCCCUGGCUCUGGGCUGUCUGCACAGAUACGUAGGAGGGAUUGGUUCAGGACAGCACCUCAAAACCAGCGUCAGCAUCCUAUUGGCCCUAGCCCAGGAUGGAACCUCCCACGAGGUCCAGACGUGGGCCCUCCACUCCCUGGCUCUCAUCGUAGACUCCAGUGGUCCCAUGUAUCGAGGCUAUGUGGAGCCCACCCUCUCCCUGGUCCUGACCCUGCUCCUAACCGUACCCCCGUCACACACUGAGGUACACCAGUGUCUGGGACGAUGUCUGGGCGCUCUCAUCACCACCGUUGGACCCGAACUACAGGGUAACGGAGCGACCAUCUCGACGAUCCGCUCAUCAUGUCUGGUGGGCUGUGCCAUCAUGCAGGGUCACAGCGACUCCCUGGUGCAGGCAGCGGCCAUAUCCUGUCUCCAGCAGCUACACAUGUUCGCCCCGCGCCACGUUAACCUCUCCAGCCUGGUGCCCUGUCUCUGUGUCCACCUGUGUAGCUCUCACCUGUUGCUGCGCCGUGCAGCGGUGGCCUGUCUGAGACAGCUGGCCCAGAGAGAGGCUGCGGAGGUCUGUGAGUACGCCACGAGUCUGGCCCGCAACAAGGACAGCACGGACUCAACCACCGUCAAUCUGAACAUCACAGAGACUGGUUUGGAGGGGGUUCUGUUUGGAAUGCUGGACCGGGAGACGGACAGGAAGCUUUGUCACGACAUCCAUGACACUCUGGGCCACAUGCUCUCCUCGCUCGCCGUGGACAAGCUCUCUCAUUGGUUGAAGCUCUGCAAGGAUGUCCUGGCUGCUACGACAGGUCACAAGGCUGGAGGAGGGGUUGUGGCACCGGUAGAUCUGGGUAAAGAAGAGGACGACUCGGAGAAGCAGGAUGAGAUCGACGAUGACAUCAUGUUUACGGCGCUGGGAGAGGACAAUAACGCCAAGCCGUCUGUGGCGCCGCGCUGGGUGACCCGUGUGUUCGCCGCAGACUGUCUGUGUCGCAUCAUACUGCUGUGUGAGAACGCAGACAAGACCCACUUUGACCUGGCCGGCGCCCGCUCUGCUAAGGCCAAGAACCCUAAAGGUGAUCUGUUGGUCCUCCACCUCUCUGACCUGAUUCGCAUGGCCUUCAUGGCAGCUACAGACAACAGUAACCAGUUGAGGAUGGCUGGUCUUCAGGCUCUGGAAGACAUUAUUAAGAAGUUUGCCUGUGUUCCGGAGCCAGAGUUCCCAGGUCACGUGAUCCUGGAGCAGUACCAGGCGAACGUUGGAGCUGCUCUUAGACCAGCGUUCUCCCCAGAUACACCUUCUGACAUCACAGCUAAGGCAUGCCAGGUGUGCAGUACGUGGAUCGGUAGUGGUGUGGUCAGUGACCUGAAUGAUCUUCGGCGCGUCCACAAUCUCCUGGUAUCCUCGCUGGACAAGGUGCAGGCUGGGAAGGGUUCCUCUAGUCAGCUGUACAGUGAGAGUGCUACCACCAUGGAGAAAUUGGCCGUACUGAAGGCCUGGGCUGAGGUGUAUGUGGUGGCCAUGAAGAUAAAGAAGGAAGCAGAGUCUCGGCCGGUGAAGGAGGUGAAGGCAGGAGAAGAGGAUGAGGAAGAGGAGGAGGAGGAGGUGGGAGCGGACAUUCUUCCUCCUGACAGCCUAAUUAUGCUGGUGCAGCCUGAACUACCGUCUCUGUCUCGGCUGUGGUUGGCUGUCCUCAGAGACUACGCUCUGCUCACACUGCCUGCUGAGUUCUCCAGCCAGCUGCCCCCUGACGGUGGUGCCUUCUACACCCCAGAGACCAUCGACACAGCCCGUCUCCAUUACCGUGGCUCCUGGGCCCCCGUUCUCCACGCUGUGGCCCUCUGGCUGAGCAGCACCAGCUUUGGGGAGGGGGAAGAAGAGGCCCCUGCUGUCCCUCCACAGGCUUCUGGGGCACCAGUCUACCCACAGGGUAACCCUGGACCUACUCAGAGCCUGGAGGAUCUGAUUAAGGACAGAAUGCAUCUGAUGUUGGGUGUCAGUAUUGAGUUCCUGUGUUUCCCAAGACCUGAGGAACCAAUAGAACAUGUCAUGUCAUGUCUACAGGCUCUCUGUACCCUACUGGACUCUCCCUGUGCCAGGACACACAUCAGUGAAGACCAGUUGUUAGGUGUAGAGCUGCUCAACGUUCUCCACAGACUACUCCUGACCAGAGAUCCUCCAGCCGUUCAGCUCCAAGUGACGGCUGUGGUGCAGGAGACGAUCCGGGCUGCACAGGACCACCUGACACAGCAGAGAGACACACAGGGUAAGGAGGGUGGAGGGGAGAAGGACGGUCUGUCUCUCCGGGGAGAGGGAGGUGAGACUGGGGAGCUGCUCCCGGGGAAGUCCCUAGUCUUCGCUGCCAUGGAGCUUAUGGUGUUCAUCCUGGUUCGUCACUUGCCCCAACUCAACACCAGGGUGAACGAGUCCCCCAGCCACCUGCCCCUCCGACCCCAGCCUCGUCUGCCUGAGGAGAGCACCCGGCUGGUGGCUCACACCGUCUCUAUACUGGCUGAACUGCCGUCGCUAUGCUCCCCCGCAGGCAGCAUGACCAUCCUCCCGACUGUACUCUUCCUGAUAACCGGGGUCCUGAAGGAGACGGCUGUGAAGACACCUGAUAACUCCAUACCCCUGCCAGUCUCAGCUGCUCUACAGGGUAUAAAGACUAUCAUUACCUCUCCUCUGGCCCGGGCUGAGAAGACUCCCACUCAGUGGACAGGACUGAUUAGGAGUAGUCUGGCUUCUGUUCUAGAAUAUUCUCAACCAGAUGAGUCUCGUCCCAACAUGGAUGAGGUCAGUAUGCUGACAGCCAUGACCCUCUUCCUGCUGUCUGCCAGUUCAGAGGUCAUAGGAGUCACUGUGCUGCAGCAGGGUUGUAUGGAACGCUAUAGGAACGCACUCCUCUCCUCUGACCCCUGGGUCCAGGCGCGGUGUUACCAACUCCUCCUGUCCGUGUUCCAGCACCCCAGCCGUGCGUUAUCCACCCCCUACAUCCACGCCCUGGCGCCUCUUAUGGUGGAGAAACUGAAGGGGGUGGAGAGGAGUCGCCCAGGCACGGUCACGGAGCUGCAGGCCGUUCAGGAGGGCAUCAGGGUUCUGGAGAACCUAGUGGGCAUGGCAGAGGAACAGAACCGUAUGUACCGUUGGUAGCAAUGCUGUACACACAGGGUUAAAACGGUCACGGACCUGCAGGGCCGUACAGGAGGGCAUCGGGGUUCUGGAGAACCUAGUGGGCAUGGCAGAGGAACAGAACCGGGUACAGUUGCUGGCUCUGCUCGUCCCCACCCUGGUCUCCUAUCUCCUGGAUGACAAGGCCUUCUCCUCUGCUCCUCCUGCCUCCAAGGGCCUACAUGAGUUUGCUCUCCAGAACCUGAUGCGGAUCGGGCCCCUCUACCCAGCUGCCUUCAAGACAGUGAUUGGAGCCGCACCUGAGCUCAAGACCCGCCUUGAGUCGGCCGUCAGAGCCAAUCAGGCGAGCAGCAAAGCCAAAGCAGCAGCCCUAUUGGCCCAGCCAACUGUGCAGGCCGCGCCCACCAUCAAACUCAAAACUAGUUUCUUCUAAAUAUCCCUGAAAUGCAGAAUACUUUAUCAUCCUGGUGUAAUGUUGUUGUCGUCUGAUACGUCUCUAAGAUGUUCUUUAUUUAACUUGGUUCUCGGUGGAUGAGAUUUUUCUACUUAGUUUUCUUGAAGUCGGCAGGUAGCCUAGUGGUUAGAGUGUAGGGACGGCAGGUAGCCUAG